Molecule: ribosomal RNA, 496 nt
Filed under: uncultured bacterium
Lineage: Bacteria
Description: partial 16S ribosomal RNA
Rfam family: Bacterial small subunit ribosomal RNA
Source: RNAcentral
AUGAACGCUGGCGGCGUGCCUAAUACCUGCAAGUCGAGCGAACAGACGAGGAGCUUGCUCCUCUGACGUUAGCGGCGGACGGGGGAGUAACACGUGGAUAACCUACCUAUAAGACUGGGAUAACUUCGGGAAACCGGAGCUAAUACCGGAUAAUAUAUUGAACCGCAUGGUUCAAUAGGGAAAGACGGUUUUGCUGUCACUUAUAGAUGGAUCCGCGCCGCAUUAGCUAGUUGGUAAGGUAACGGCUUACCAAGGCAACGAUGCGUAGCCGACCUGAGAGGGUGAUCGGCCACACUGGAACUGAGACACGGUCCAGACUCCUACGGGAGGCAGCAGUAGGGAAUCUUCCGCAAUGGGCGAAAGCCUGACGGAGCAACGCCGCGUGAGUGAUGAAGGUCUUCGGAUCGUAAAACUCUGUUAUUAGGGAAGAACAAAUGUGUAAGUAACUAUGCACGUCUUGACGGUACCUAAUCAGAAAGCCACGGCUAACUACGUG